ACUGGCUGUGCGCGAAUCAACUCCCUUACUUCCAUUCGGGGCAGCGGGUUCUGCCUUGCGCUGAUUUCUGUUCACGGGUAGAAGAAAAGUGCCCAUUUUUUCGUCCAAUCAAUGAUGAUACGCAUGUCGGGGACCCCAGUUUCAUAUGCAAAGCUUCAGCCAUGUCGUCUGUGAAAAAUGAAAUGUGUUACAGACAACCUCCCGCGUGUUACAAACUGUGCAGCAUACAGAUGGACACACGCACGGACAACUGCCACAGUAUAAAUCUCACACAUUGUCACGUGAACCACACUUCUGACGUCACUGGCAGGACAAACUCAACUUCCACGGCUCAGAGGUUACGCGCUCACCGAGUAUUCUUCUUCGUCGAUUUAGUCACGUGUUCACUCGUCGUGUGGGUGGUGCGAACUAUAUUACAAUACACAGCGAUUGGCUGGACAUAGUGUCAGCCGUGUGGACCAUAGUUCUAUUUAUAUUAUGCUGUCUCUUGUGAUAUAUACUGUUUCCAUUGUGCAUGUCAUAGUGAUACGUGUAUGUGUUUAAAAAAAAGGGGAGGUAAUUCGCCAGGUAAAAGAACACGAAGAAGAGGAGAAGAGGAUUCGCCACGCGUGUAUAUCCAUAUACAGGGGAGAUAAUUCGCCACAAGUGUAUGUACAAAUGGGAGAUAAUUCGCCACAAGUAUGUGUACAAAGCGGAGAUAAUUCGCCACGCACGUAUGUACAAAGCGGAGAUAAUUCGCCAUGAGCAUGUGUACAAAGCGGAGAUAAGUCGCCACAAGUGUAAUGUACAACGGGGAGAUAAUUCGCCACGUGUACUGUGACCCCCAUGCACCGCGUUUAUACAUAAAUAUGCGUGAAGAGAUGGAUGGAUAUAUAUAUAUAUAUAUAUAUAUAUAUAUAUAUAUAUAUAAUUAUAUAUUGUGUUGUCGCCAGCAGAGUUACUGCAGAGCGGAUAACGGAUCUGGAAACACGGAUAUAUAAUUUCCAAGGAAUUCCUAUUUUGUGUUAAACCGUGUAAAUAUUACUGAGGCAAAGAUAUGCCUUUAUUCUAGGAACCUCUUCCAAGUGUGUCCUUCUACCAAAGAGAAGGGGAGACAACCUGCUUGUUUUAUUCCAAAACAAGGCGGAUUACCUGCAGUAUUUUAAAUUUUAUCUGUGCUGGGAGGUGAUAUAUUUGAUUUAUUCUCAACGCAGGGGAGAUAAACUACGUGUUUCGUACUCCGUGUAAGGGGGACAACCCAGAUGAUUUCUUGUUCUGUUUUUGUUUUUGUUUUUUAAAUAAUAAAUCACAGCAGGGGA
Gigantopelta aegis is the source of this 1298-nucleotide long non-coding RNA. RefSeq lists it as uncharacterized. The transcript has 2 exons. The record is from RefSeq and is a predicted model, not a curated record. Lineage: Eukaryota; Metazoa; Mollusca; Gastropoda; Neomphalida; Peltospiridae.